CCUACGGGGUGCAGCAGUCGAGAAUCAUUCACAAUGGGGGAAACCCUGAUGGUGCGACGCCGCGUGGGGGAAUGAAGGUCUUCGGAUUGUAAACCCCUGUCAUGUGGGAGCAAAUUAAAAAGAUAGUACCACAAGAGGAAGAGACGGCUAACUCUGUGCCAGCAGCCGCGGUAAUACAGAGGUCUCAAGCGUUGUUCGGAAUCACUGGGCGUAACGCGUGCGUAGGCUGUUUCGUAAGUCGUGUGUGAAAGGCGCGGGCUCAACCCGCGGACGGCACAUGAUACUGCGAGACUAGAGUAAUGGAGGGGGAACCGGAAUUCUCGGGGUAGCAGUGAAAUGCGUAGAUAUCGAGAGGAACACUCGUGGCGAAGGCGGGUUCCUGGACAUUAACUGACGCUGAGGCACGAAGGCCAGGGGAGCGAAAGGGAUUAGAUACCCCGGUAGUC
This 446-nucleotide ribosomal RNA is filed under the name uncultured bacterium. RNAcentral describes it as "partial 16S ribosomal RNA". It matches the Rfam family "Bacterial small subunit ribosomal RNA", at positions 338 to 795 of the family's 1533-position model. The record is from RNAcentral.